CCUACGGGUGGCAGCAGUGGGGGAUAUUGCACAAUGGGGGGAACCCUGAUGCAGCGACGCCGCGUGUGGGAAGAUGGUCCUCUGGAUUGUAAACCACUGUUCCCAGGGACGAAAAUGACGGUACCUGGGGUGGAAGCUCCGGCUAACUACGUGCCAGCAGCCGCGGUAAUACGUAGGGAGCGAGCGUUGUCCGGAAUUACUGGGUGUAAAGGGAGCGUAGGGGGGGAUGCAAGUUGGGUGUCAAAACUACCGGCUCAACUGGUAGUCGCACUCAAAACUGCAGCUCUUGAGUGAAGUAGAGGCAGGCGGAAUUCCUAGUGUAGCGGUGAAAUGAGUAGAUAUUAGGAGGAACACCAGUGGCGAAGGCGGCCUGCUGGGCUUUUACUGACGCUGAGGCUCGAAAGUGUGGGGAGCAAACAGGAUUAGAUACCCCGGUAGU
RNAcentral lists this ribosomal RNA (439 nucleotides) under uncultured bacterium. RNAcentral describes it as "partial 16S ribosomal RNA". It matches the Rfam family "Bacterial small subunit ribosomal RNA", at positions 338 to 794 of the family's 1533-position model. The record is from RNAcentral.